RNAcentral lists this transfer RNA (86 nucleotides) under Clostridia bacterium. RNAcentral's name for it is "tRNA-Leu". It matches the Rfam family "tRNA". Rfam says of the family: Transfer RNA (tRNA) molecules are approximately 80 nucleotides in length. Their secondary structure includes four short double-helical elements and three loops (D, anti-codon, and T loops). The record is from RNAcentral. Lineage: Bacteria; Bacillati; Bacillota; Clostridia.
GCUGAUGUGGCGAAAUGGCAGACGCGCAAGGUUCAGGUCCUUGUGGAAGCAAUUCCAUGCAGGUUCAAGUCCUGUCAUCAGCACCA